AACCGAGAUUCCGCUAGUAGUGGCGAGCGAACGCGGAAGAGGCCAAACCAAGAGUAGUAAUACUUUUGGGGUUCGGACUGAGUACGGUAUUGACAAGAGUUAGUAGAAUGGAAUGGGAAGUUCAACCAUAGAGUGUGAGAGUCACGUAUACGAAAACUUAAGUCAGCCAUCAGUAUCCAGAGUACCGCCGGACACGUGAAACCCGGUGGGAAUACGGGGGGACCACCCUCCAAGCCUAAAUACUCACCAAUGACCGAUAGUGUAUAGUACUGUGAAGGAAAGGUGAAAAGAACCCCUGGCGGGGAGUGAAAAAGAACCUGAAACCUUGUGCCUACAAGCACAUAGAGCACGUCAACGUGUGAUAUGGUACCUUUUGUAGAAUGGUCCGGCGAGUGAAUGUCACUAGCGAGGUUAAGAACUUAAGGUUUGCAGCCGAAGCGAAAGCGAGUCUUAAUAGGGCGAGUUUAGUUAGUGGUAUUCGACCCGAAACCGAGUGACCUAGCCAUGAGCAGGCUGAAGUGGAGGUAAAACUCCAUGGAGGGCCGAACCCACUCCCGUUGAAAUGGUAGGGGAUGACUUGUGGCUAGCGGAGAAAUUCCAAUCGAACUCGGAGAUAGCUGGUUCUCUCCGAAAUAGCUUUAGGGCUAGCCUCAAUUAACAUUACCGCAGGUAAAGCACUGAAUGGGCUAGGGGGCGAAAGCUUACUGAACCCUAUCAAACUCAGAAUGGCGGAUAAUGAAUAAUUGGGAGUCACACUACGUGAGAUAAGUUUCGUGGUGGAAAGGGAAACAGCCCAGACCCACAGCUAAGGUCCCAAAGUACAGUUAAGUGGAAAAGGAUGUGAAGUUGCGCAGACAACCAGGAUGUUGGCUCAGAAGCAGCCACUCAUUCAAAGAGUGCGUAAUAGCUCACUGGUCGAGUGAUUUUGCGCCGAAAAUUUAACGGGGCUAAACUGUACACCGAAGCUUGGGAAUAUACCAUAUGGUAUGUUGGUAGGAGAGCGUCGUAUGCGGGGUGAAGUCGUAGCGAAAGCGGCGGUGGACUGCAUAGGAGUGAGAAUGCCGGAAUGAGUAGCGAGAAUUAUGUGAGAAUCAUAAUGGCCGAAAGACUAAGGUUUUAGAAGGAAGGUUCGUCCGCUUCUAGUUAGCCGGGAGCUAAGGCGAGGCCGAAAGGCGUAGUCGAUGCACAUACGGUUGAGAUUCCGUAGCCACCUUAAAUUUAAACUAAGGGACACAUUGAAAGGGAAUAACCCAGGCGUUGGUUGACCUGGGCGUAAGGGAACGAAAAUAAGUAGUGAAGUAUUCUUGGACAGUGGCGAGAAAAGCUUAGUGUAUAUUAUUAGGGUGCCCGUACUGCAAACCGACACAGGUAGUCAGGAAGAGAAUUCUAAGGCCAUCGGGAGAAGCGUUGUUAAGGAACUCGGCAAAUUGACCCCGUAACUUCGGAAUAAGGGGUGCUCACGAGAGUGAGCCGCAGUGAAUAGGUCCAGGCAACUGUUUAUCAAAAACACAGCUCUCUGCUAAAUCGUAAGAUGACGUAUAGGGGGUGACACCUGCCCGGUGCUGGAAGGUUAAGAGGAGGAGUGCAAGCCCCGAAUCGAAGCCCCAGUAAACGGCGGCCGUAACUAUAACGGUCCUAAGGUAGCGAAAUUCCUUGUCGGGUAAGUUCCGACCCGCACGAAUGGUGUAAUGAUCUGGACACUGUCUCAACAACGCACCCGGCGAAAUUGUAGUACCGGUGAAGAUGCCGGUUACCCGCGGCAAGACGGAAAGACCCCAUGGAGCUUUACUGUAACUUAAUAUUGGGUCUCGGUACUUUAUGUACAGGAUAGGCGGGAGACUUGGAAACUAGCACGCCAGUGUUAGCGGAGUCAUCCUUGGGAUACCGCUCUUAAGGUAUUGAGAUUCUAACCUGCAGCCUUGAAUCAGGUUGGGGGACAUUGUUAGGUGGGCAGUUUGACUGGGGCGGUCGCCUCCAAAAGAGUAACGGAGGCGUUCAAAGGUUGGCUCAGCAUGGACGGAAACCAUGCUUUAGAGUAUAAACGCAUAAGCCAGCCUAACUGCGAGACUGACGGGUCGAGCAGUAACGAAAGUUGGAGUUAGUGAUCCGGCGGUAUGUGAGUGGAAAUGCCGUCGCUCAACGGAUAAAAGCUACCCUGGGGAUAACAGGCUGAUCUCCCCCAA
RNAcentral lists this ribosomal RNA (2183 nucleotides) under human gut metagenome. RNAcentral's name for it is "bacterial LSU rRNA". It matches the Rfam family "Bacterial large subunit ribosomal RNA", at positions 227 to 2495 of the family's 2925-position model. The record is from RNAcentral.